AUCGAACGCUGGCGGCAGGCUUAACACAUGCAAGUCGAGCGGUAGCACAGGGGAGCUUGCUCCCUGGGUGACGAGCGGCGGACGGGUGAGUAAUGUCUGGGAAACUGCCUGAUGGAGGGGGAUAACUACUGGAAACGGUAGCUAAUACCGCAUAACGUCGCAAGACCAAAGAGGGGGACCUUCGGGCCUCUUGCCAUCAGAUGUGCCCAGAUGGGAUUAGCUAGUAGGUGGGGUAAUGGCUCACCUAGGCGACGAUCCCUAGCUGGUCUGAGAGGAUGACCAGCCACGCUGGAACUGAGACACGGUCCAGACUCCUACGGGAGGCAGCAGUGGGGAAUAUUGCACAAUGGGCGCAAGCCUGAUGCAGCCAUGCCGCGUGUGUGAAGAAGGCCUUCGGGUUGUAAAGCACUUUCAGCGAGGAGGAAGGUGGUGAGCUUAAUACGUUCAUCAAUUGACGUUACUCGCAGAAGAAGCACCGGCUAACUCCGUG
Molecule: ribosomal RNA, 490 nt
Filed under: uncultured bacterium
Lineage: Bacteria
Description: partial 16S ribosomal RNA
Rfam family: Bacterial small subunit ribosomal RNA
Source: RNAcentral